RNAcentral lists this ribosomal RNA (1072 nucleotides) under uncultured bacterium. RNAcentral describes it as "bacterial SSU rRNA". It matches the Rfam family "Bacterial small subunit ribosomal RNA", at positions 73 to 1162 of the family's 1533-position model. The record is from RNAcentral.
CCAGUGCUUGCACUGGUACUCGAGUGGCGAACGGGUGAGUAACACGUGGGUGAUCUGCCUUGCACUCUGGGAUAAGCUUGGGAAACUGGGUCUAAUACCGGAUAGGAACCGUCUUUAGUGUGGUGGUUGGAAAGUUUUUUCGGUGCAAGAUGAGCUCGCGGCCUAUCAGCUUGUUGGUGGGGUAAUGGCCUACCAAGGCGUCGACGGGUAGCCGGCCUGAGAGGGUGUACGGCCACAUUGGGACUGAGAUACGGCCCAGACUCCUACGGGAGGCAGCAGUGGGGAAUAUUGCACAAUGGGCGGAAGCCUGAUGCAGCGACGCCGCGUGGGGGAUGACGGCCUUCGGGUUGUAAACUCCUUUCGACAGGGACGAAGCGCAAGUGACGGUACCUGUAUAAGAAGCACCGGCUAACUACGUGCCAGCAGCCGCGGUAAUACGUAGGGUGCGAGCGUUGUCCGGAAUUACUGGGCGUAAAGAGCUCGUAGGUGGUUUGUCGCGUCGUCUGUGAAAUUCCGGGGCUUAACUCCGGGCGUGCAGGCGAUACGGGCAUAACUUGAGUGCUGUAGGGGAGACUGGAAUUCCUGGUGUAGCGGUGAAAUGCGCAGAUAUCAGGAGGAACACCGAUGGCGAAGGCAGGUCUCUGGGCAGUUACUGACGCUGAGGAGCGAAAGCAUGGGUAGCGGACAGGAUUAGAUACCCUGGUAGUCCAUGCCGUAAACGGUGGGCGCUAGGUGUAGGGGGCUUCCACGUCUUCUGUGCCGUAGCUAACGCAUUAAGCGCCCCGCCUGGGGAGUACGGCCGCAAGGCCAAAACUCAAAGGAAUUGACGGGGGCCCGCACAAGCGGCGGAGCAUGUGGAUUAAUUCGAUGCAACGCGAAGAACCUUACCUGGGCUUGACAUACACCAGAUCGCUGCAGAGAUGUAGUUUCCCUUGUGGUUGGUGUACAGGUGGUGCAUGGUUGUCGUCAGCUCGUGUCGUGAGAUGUUGGGUUAAGUCCCGCAACGAGCGCAACCCUUGUCUUAUGUUGCCAGCAUUUGGUUGGGGACUCAUGAGAGACUGCCGGGGUUAAC